Molecule: long non-coding RNA, 29386 nt
Filed under: Triticum aestivum (bread wheat)
Lineage: Eukaryota; Viridiplantae; Streptophyta; Magnoliopsida; Poales; Poaceae
Description: long non-coding RNA (TAES_LNC025971)
Rfam family: MIR1120/MIR1122 microRNA precursor family (bases 27854-27988)
Source: RNAcentral
AAAAAAUUGGUGUCAUUUUUAGAAAAAAUAUUCAAAUAAUGUGAACAAUGUUUGUGUAAUAUAUAUAAAAUGUUUCGUACGAUUCACAAAAAUGUUGAAUGUGUAUUUGAGAAUAUUCAACAUUUUAUGUAAAGAAGCAUUUAAACAUAUAUUUCAAAGUAAUAUUCAUCAUGUAUUUGAAAAAUGUUCAACGCAUAACAAAAAAUGUUACACAUGUAUACACAAAAUGUACAACGUGUAUUGAGAAAAUUUGACAUUUAUUUGAAAGUAAGGUAAAAGAAAAAUUUGGUAAAAUAAAAAAUGGAUUAAGGAACAUAGGAAAAUAUAAAAAAAAUACCGCAUUGAAGUUCUUAAAACUGGUCCAAACCUGUCUAAAUAAUUUUCCCGAAUUAACCUUAUGGGCCGGCCCUGCACUGUAGAUCAUGUAGCGGUUUAGAAAGAUUCCUAUAGUCUAGUUCGUACUGACCUUAGGCUGUGUUUGGUUCAACUUCAGCUUUGAACUUUUGGGUCCAAAAGCUAUAAGCUGAACCAAAUGGGUAAAUUUACAAAGCAGCUUUUGAGAAUCUGCAGCUUCUCUGUAGUGUAAAUUUUGAAGCUGGGAUACCCCAACUUUUCAGCUUCUCAGCUUCUAAACCAACCAUUUUCUGUUGUCCCCUAAAACCGAGUAGUAUUUACCCAUCAAUGCCACUGGUAAGUCAUACCUCUUCAUUGUGUUUCACAGCCGUUUCAGCUAAACAGCCGUUUUAGCCAAACAGCUUCCAGCUUUUCCACAGCUAAAAGUUCACAGCAGUUUUUUCACAGCUCACAGCUCACAGCGGCUUUUACAGAAUCUGCAGCUCAACCAAACACAGCCUUAGAACCUUCCUUAUUGUUGUUUCUAUGUGUUUUUUAUCGGUGUUUCAUUUGGUUUUUUUCUUCACUAUCUUUUUCAACAUAUGUCUACUCUUCAAUAGUCAAUACACACUGUAUAUUUUUAGUAUACACGCGAAACAUUUUUUUUACAAAGUUGAAAGUUUUUUAAAUACAUGUUUUAAACAUUGUGAAUAUAUGUUAAACAUUUUUCAAUACAUGGUGAAUAUUUUUAAUGGCGUUAAAAAUUUCUUCAAAUUAUGCGAACAUUGCUUUAUCUUAUAUAUACUUAAAUGUGAGAGCAUUGUUUUUAAAUAUGCGAAGAUUUAUUAAAAAUGUCAUGUAUAUUAUUUUUGGAUGAUAUGAAAUAUUGUUUUGGGAACCACGCAAAGUUUUACACUUCAUGAAUAUUUUCAAAAUGUGCGAUGAGCAUUAUUAAUUUUUUUUGAGAACCACAGAGUAAAGAGCCUACUCCCUGGUGGGGUUACAAUCUGAGUACAUCAGCUGGGUAAGAUUAUCCGGGACCCUUUCUAAUAGAACUUGGUUGCCUGUAGACCUGGCCAUUGCAGCUAGCUCAUGCGCCAGGUGGUUUUUGUUCCGGCUGAUGACCUUUGCGACGGAGCUCUCAAAUAGGUUCAGGUUGUGUCGGAUGUCGGCCACAAGAGGAAAACAUGCCGAUUGGUUUCCACAUCCCUUCUCCAAGAGUUGUCCCACUGACGAACUAUCAGUUUCCACGAUCAAUUUUCCGUUGAAAACUUUAGCCAGCUCUCACACCCCCAAGUACAGCAGCAACUUCUGCUUCCACUGGGGAGUUACAUUUGCCCAAUUCUAAGCAAGCCGAGAGGCGGACUCGUCCUUGCGCGUCUCUUGCUACCGCCCCUCCCCAACUGUCGCCUGAUGCUUGGAUAAAGGAGGCAUCCGUGUUUAACUUCACCCAUCCCUCCUCCGGUGUCAUCCACCUUGCUGUAGUGGCAACUGAAAGAGUACCUGGAGCUGACUGACGUAGGCUGUAGCUGCUCAUCCGGUCCUGUUUCUCCGGAAUCUGGGCAUUGGCAAAUUCCUCCUCGUACCUUGUCAGGAGUAUUGCCGAUCCCUGAACGGUGCCCUUUACCAUCCCCAUGGAUGGCGUCAUUUCUUAGAUUCCAGCAUUUCCAGAAUAGCAUCAGAAUACGUCGCCUGGUUAUCUCAUCCUGCGAGUUCAGAAGUAUUUGCAGCCAGUCUGUUCCUGUGUACCUGAACUUGUCUUCCUUUGGCAGGUUCCAAAUAGGCCUCAUAGUAAAUCUCAGGGCUUUACUCCUGGUACACACAUUGACCGCAUGGAACUCAUUUUCGUCCUCCUUCCCACACAAGCUGCAUAUACUAUCUGUGGUGAUCGUUCUCCUGCAUGUGUUUAGCUUCGUGGCCAAGGAAUUGGUCGCCGUUCGCCAACCGAAGAUUUUUAUUUUCUCAGGUACCUUAGCUUUCCAGAUCAUGUCCCACAGGUUUCAAACUCCUGCCUCACUGUUAGAGGCCGAAGCCCCUGAGGUGGAAUUGCGUUUAAUCAUAUCAGCCAGUUUGUAAGCACUCUUCAGCGUGAAUUGUCCAGAUUUCUCAUAAUGCCAUGCAAUGCUAUCUGCAGUUUCAGCACUUGGUAACCUUAGUUUGCAGAUUUCCUCCGCAUCAAACUGGUAAAAAAUCUGCUUAAUCAGAUCUACAUUCCAUUGCCUUUCGGUUGGGAGUAACAAUUGAUUGACCCAUCGGAUUCUUGUCCUCUGAAUAAAACUAGAUGUCUUUCGGCCCUCGCUACGAGGGAGCCAGUGAUCCUUUUGAAUUUGAAUGCUCUUGCCAUUCCCUACUCUCCAAAUCACUCCCUCCUUCAGCAAUUCGAGGCCAAAUUCAAUCCCCCUCCAUGAGGGUGAAGCGUCCGAACUGAAGACCGUAUCCAGGAGAUUACCUCGUGGGUAAUAUUUUGAUUUCAGGACGCGAGCGCACAUGCUAUCUGGGUUUUGUACCAGCCUCCAGGCUUGGCGGGCUAGGAGAGCUUGGUUAAAUAGGUGCAUGUCACGAAAUCCUAUGCUCCCAUUCUUCUUGUGUCUCGUCAUAUUCUCCCAAGACAUCCAGUGCACCUUCGGUGGUUCUCCUUAUCACCCCACCAGAAGUCCCUAAUCAUCUUUUGAUAUCUCUCGCAAAACCCCAUGCUCAUUGUGAACACGCCCAUGAUGUAAGCCGGGAGUGCUUGCACCACUGACUUGACGUUAACCUCCUUGGCUGCCUGAGUCAUGAACCUUUCAUUCCAGUCGCAACACCUCUUACCGAGUUUGUCCAUGAUCGGUUGAAAGUGCUCAUCCUUCAUUCUACCCUCCGGCGUGGGGAGGCCCAAGUAUUUGCUCUCAAAAAGAGAGAUAGUUACUCCAAGGAUCUCCUUGAUCUCUUCCCUGACUUGCACCGGACAAGCCUCGCUGAAAAGGAGCAAGCAUUUACUUUGGCUUAAGAGUUGUCCCGAUCUUCGUUGGAAUAUGUUCAGGAUCUCCUUCACCUUUCUAGCUUCUUCCACAUUAGCUUUGAAGAAGAGGAGGCUAUCAUCCGUGAAAAGAAGGUUUGAUAUUCCUGGACUAUUACGAGCAAUUUUGAGUGGAGUCGGUGAACCCUUUGCCACUUCUCUCCUUAGCAGCCCCGCCAGUCCUUCCGCCACGAAUAAAAACAAGUAUGGGCUAAGCGGGUCUCCCUGUCUUAGUCCCCGGGACGGAUGAAAGGGCUCCAACAGCUCCCCAUCACACCUUACUGUGAACCUCACUGACCUAACACAAGCCAUCACCCACUCAAUCCAUUUGUCAGCAAAACCUAUCCUUCUUAGGGCCCCCUCGAGGAAAUCCCAGUCCACCCGGUCAUAAGCCCUGGCCAAGUCCAGUUUGUAGGCACAGUAGGAGUCCCUCGGGUUUUUGCUAUGUUGAAUUUUGUGGAAACACUCAAACGCUAUGAGGGCGUUGUUCGUGAUCAGCCUACCGGGAACGAAAGCACUCUGAGUUUCAGACACUAGAUCAUCCUGGAGGGGUCUCAAUCUGUUAACUAAAACCUUCGAGUUUACCUUGUAAAUCACAUUGCAUAAGCUGAUGGGUCGGUAGUCCUUAAUAGUCUUUGGGUCUUUCCCUUUCGGAAUGAGUACUAUAACCGUGUCAUUCACUCCCUCUGGCAUGGCGCCAUCCUCGAAGAACUUGAUCACCGCUUUCGUGACAUCCUCCUUCACCACAUCCCAGUUCCGUUGAAAGAAACGGGCUGGGAAUCCGUCGGGACUUGAUGCCUUAAGCGGGCCGAUUUGAAAUAGGGCAUCCCCCACUUCCUCUGGAGUAACAGUCUUGGUCAGGGUUGCAUUCAUGUCUUCAUCAACUAGCGUCAGGUAGCUGUCGAGUAGAGUUUGUGGGUCAACCGUAUCAUCUCUGGUAUAUAGGUCCUUGAAAAACUGAUUAAUUUCGGCCUGUAUUUCCUCCAUUUCUCUAUCCAAGAACCAUCCGUACCUUGUAGCUUAUGGAUUUUAUUUUUUUUCCUCCUCCAGGUAGCCUUGCGGUGGAAGAAUUCGGUGUUCUUGUCCCCUUCUCUCAGCCAGGCAAUUCUAGACCAUUGCUUCCACAUGAUUUCCUCUCUGAGUAGUAGUUCAUCCAGCUCUCCGGUUGUGAUCUUGAUCUUACGUUCAAUUUCAGGUGUAACAGUUUGGUUCCACAACCACUUUAGUCUGCCUCUACACGAACUGAUCUUGUUUUGGAGUGAGCAAAAAUCUUUCAGUGCCCACGAGCUCAAGGUAUUCUGCAUGUCUCUCAGCUUUGCUACGACAUCUUCCAUCGAUCUGCCUUGUCCUCCCCUCUCCCAUGCAUUACGGAUUGUGUCAGGGAGUAACUCCACUCUUUCCCACAUUGCUUCAUAUCUAAAACUUCUUUUUACCGGCCGCCACUCCUUCCUUUUUCCAAGUCGCAGUAAAACAGGGACAUGGUCUGAUCUUGCAGAGAUGAUGUGCUCCACUGUUGCAUUCCUGAAGGCCGUGCUCCAUUCUGGUGUGGCCACUGCCCUGUCUAGGUGGGCUUUCACAUUACUGGACCCGCUCUGUUUGUUGUCGUACGUCCAUGCCAUACCUUUGUAGCCAAUAUCAUGAAGAUUACAAUCCGAUAGAACCCUUCUGAAGUUUGCCAUGUUAGUUUCAGAUCUCUUUGCCUUAGAGAAGUGUUCACUCUGCCACAUAGUCUCAUUAAAGUCCCCGAUCACAAGCCACGGUUCAGAGGCAUUUGGUCUCAAUCUUCUCAGUACAUUCCACAUGUGGAUUCUCUCAUGAGCUUUCGGCUCUCCAUAGACAAAAGUUCCCCUCCAUCGGGGGCUGUUAGGAGACACACGGAUCAACACAUCAAUAUACCACGGGCCAACGGCAAGUUCUUUUAUUUCUACGUUUUCAUCAUAGAAGAGGGCAAUACCAGCACUCUUUCCAGUAUCGGCAUGCUUGAUACAGUGCUUGAGGCCUAGCCUCCAUCUUAAUUUAUUGACGUAGUCAUCCUUUUGCCGUGUUUCAGAGAGGAAGACUAGUUUGGGUUUGAGCGAAUGCACUGUUGGGUUUCGUAGUAAUUUCAAAAAAAUUCCUACGCUCACGCAAGAUCAUGGUGAUGCAUAGCAACGAGAGGGGAGAGUAUGAUCUACGUACCCUUGUAGAUCGACAACGGAAGCGUUUGGUUGAUGUAGUCGUACGUCUCCACGGCCCGACCGAUCAAGCACCGAAACUACGGCACCUCCGAGUUCUAGCACACGUUCAGCUCGAUGACGAUCCCCGGACUCCGAUCCAGCAAAGUGUCGGGGAAGAGUUCCGUUAGCACGACGGCGUGGUGAUGAUCUUGAUGUACUACCGUCGCAGGGCUUCGCCUAAGCACCACUACAAUAUUAUCGAGGACUAUGGUGGAAGGGGGCACCGCACACGGCUAAGAAUAUGAUCACGUGGAUCAACUUGUGUCUCUAGGGGUGCCCCUGCCUCCGUAUAUAAAGGUUCAAGGGAGGGGGGCCAGCCGGCCAAGGUGUGGCGCGCAAGGAGGAGUCCUACUCCUUCUGGGAGUAGGACUCCCCCCUUUCCUAGUUGGAAUAGGAUUCAUGGAGGGGGGGAAAGAGGAGAGAGAGGAGGAAGGGGGCCCGGCCCCCUCUCCUUGUCCAAUUCGGACCAAGGGGGGAGGGGCGUGCGGCCCAUCUCUGGCCACCUCUCCUCUCUUCCACUAAGGCCCACUAAGGCCCAUAUACCUCCCGGGGGGUUCCGGUAACCUCCCGGUACUCCGGUAAAAUCCCGAUUUUACCCGGAACACUUCCGAUAUCCAAACAUAGGCUUUCAAUAUAUCAAUCUUUAUGCCUUAAACAUUUCGAGACUCCUCGUCAUGUCCGUGAUCACAUUCGGGACUCCGAACAACCUUCGGUACAUCAAAAUGCAUAAACUCAUAAUAUAACUGUCAUCGUAACCUUAAGCGUGCGGACCCUACGGGUUCGAGAACAAUGUAGACAUGACCGAGACACGUCUCCGGUCAAUAACCAAUAGCGGAACCUGGAUGCUCAUAUUGGCUCCUACAUAUUCUACGAAGAUCUUUUAUCGGUCAGACCGCAUAACAACAUACGUUGUUCCCUUUGUCAUCGGUAUGUUACUUGCCCGAGAUUCGAUCGUCGGUAUCCUAUACCUAGUUCAAUCUCGUUACCAGCAAGUCUCUUUACUCGUUCUGUAAUACAUCAUCCCGCAACUAACUCAUUAGUUGCAAUGCUUGCAAGGCUUAAGUGAUGUGCAUUACUGAGAGGGCCCAGAGAUACCUCUCCGACAAUCGGAGUGACAAAUCCUAAUCUCAAAAUACGCCAACCCAACAUGUACCUUUGGAGACACCUGUAGAGCUCCUUUAUAAUCACCCAGUUACGUUGUGAUGUUUGCUAGCACACAAAGUGUUCCUCUGGCAAACGGGAGUUGCAUAAUCUCAUAGUCAUAGGAAGAUGUAUAAGUCAUGAAGAAAGCAAUAGCAACAUACUAAACGAUCGGGUGCUAAGCUAAUGGAAUGGGUCUUGUCAAUCAGAUCAUUCAACUAAUGAUGUGAUCCCGUUAAUCAAAUAACAACUCUUUGUCCAUGGUUAGGAAACAUAACCAUCUUUGAUUAACGAGCUAGUCAAGUAGAGGCAUACUAGUGACACUCUGUUUGUCUAUGUAUUCACACAUGUAUUAUGUUUCCGGUUAAUACAAUUCUAGCAUGAAUAAUAAACUUUUAUCAUGAUAUAAGGAAAUAAAUAAUAACUUUAUUAUUGCCUCUAGGGCAUAUUUCCUUCAGUCUCCCACUUGCACUAGAGUCAAUAAUCUAGAUUACACAGUAAUGAUUCUAACACCCAUGGAGCCUUGGUGUUGAUCAUGUUUUGCUCGUGGAAGAGGCUUAGUCAACGGGUCUGCAAUAUUCAGAUCCGUAUGUAUCUUGCAAAUCUCUAUGUCUCCUACCUGGACUAGAUCCCGGAUGGAAUUGAAGCGUCUCUUGAUGUGCUUGGUUCUCUUGUGAAAUCUGGAUUCCUUCGCCAAGGCAAUUGCACCAGUAUUGUCACAAAAGAUUUUCAUUGGACCCGAUGCAUGAGGUAUGACACCUAGAUCGGAUAUGAACUCCUUCAUCCAGACUCCUUCAUUCGCUGCUUCUGAAGCAGCUAUGUAUUCCGCUUCACACAUAGAUCCCGCCACGACGCUCUGUUUAGAACUGCACCAACUGACAUCUCCACCGUAAACACGUAUCCGGUUUGCGAUUAGAAUCGUCCGGAUCAGUGUCAAACUUGCAUCAACGUAACCGUUUACGAUGAGCUCUUUGUCACCUCCAUAUACGAGAAACAUAUCCUUAGUCCUUUUCAGGUACUUCAGGAUGUUCUUGACCGCUGUCCAGUGAUCCACUCCUGGAUUACUUUGGUACCUCCCUGCUAGACUUAUAGCAAGGCACACAUCAGGUCUGGUACACAGCAUUGCAUACAUGAUAGAGCCUAUGGCUGAAGCAUAGGGAACAUCUUUCAUCUUCUCUCUAUCUUCUGCAGUGGUCGGGCAUUGAGUCCGACUCGACUUCACACCUUGUAACACAGGCAAGAACCCUUUCUUUGCUUGAUCCAUUUUGAACUUCUUCAAAAUCUUGUCAAGGUAUGUGCUUUGUGAAAGUCCAAUUAAACGUCUUGAUCUAUCUCUAUAGAUCUUUAUGCCUAAUAUGUAAGCAGCUUCACCGAGGUCUUUCAUUGAAAAACUCUUAUUCAAGUAUCCCUUUAUGCUAUCCAGAAAUUCUAUAUCAUUUCCAAUCAGUAAUAUGUCAUCCACAUAUAAUAUCAGAAAUGCUACAGAGCUCCCACUCACUUUCUUGUAAAUACAGGCUUCUUCUUGAAGAUCCAUUUAUUCUCAAUUGCUUGCCGAUCAUUGGGCAAGUCAACCAAAGUCCAUACUUUGUUCUCAUACAUGGAUCCCAUCUCAUAUUUCAUGACUUCAAGCCAUUUUGCGGAAUCUGGGCUCACCAUUGCUUCUUCAUAGUUCGUAGGUUCAUCAUGAUCUAGUAGCAUGACUUCCAGAACAGGAUUACCGUACCACUCUGGUGCGGAUCUCACUCUGGUUGAUCUACGAGGUUCAGUAGUAUCUUGUUCUGAAGUUUCAUGAUCAUUAUCAUUAGCUUCCUCACUAAUUGGUGUAGGUGUCACAGAAACAGUUUUCUGUGAUGCACUACUUUCCAAUAAGGGAGCAGGUACAGUUACCUCGUCAAGUUCUACUUUCCUCCCACUCACUUCUUUCGAGAGAAACUCCUUCUUCAGAAAGUAUCCGAACUUAGCAACAAAAGUCUUGCCUUCGGAUCUGUGAUAGAAGGUGUAUCCAAUAGUCUCCUUUGGAUAUCCUAUGAAGACACAUUUCUCCGAUUUGGGUUCGAGCUUAUCAGGUUGAAGCUUUUUCACAUAAGCAUCGCAGCCCCAAACUUUCAGAAACGACAACUUUGGUUUCUUGCCAAACCAUAGUUCAUAAGGCGUCGUCUCAACGGAUUUUGAUGGUGCCCUAUUUAACGUGAAUGCGGUCGUCUCCAAAGCAUAACCCCAAAACGAUAGCGGUAAAUCAGUAAGAGACAUCAUAGAUCGCACCAUAUCUAGUAAAGUACGAUUACGACGUUUGGACACACCAUUACACUGUGGUGUUUCGGGUGGCGUGAGUUGCGAAACUAUUCUGCAUUGUUUCAAAUGUACACCAAACUCGUAACUCAAAUAUUCUCCUCCACGAUCAGAUCGUAGAAACUUUAUUUUCUUGUUACGAUGAUUUUCAACUUCACUCUGAAAUUCUUUGAACUUUUCAAACGUUUCAGACUUAUGUUUCAUUAAGUAGAUAUACCCAUAUCUGCUUAAAUCAUCUGUGAAGGUGAGAAAAUAACGAUAUCCGCCACGAGCCUCAAUAUUCAUCGGACCACAUACAUCUGUAUGUAUGAUUUCCAACAAAUCUGUUGCUCUCUCCAUAGUACCGGAGAAUGGCGUUUUAGUCAUCUUGCCCAUGAGGCACGGUUCGCAAGUACCAAGUGAUUCAUAAUCAAGUGGUUCCAAAAGUCCAUCAGUAUGGAGUUUCUUCAUGCGCUUUACACCGAUAUGACCUAAAUGGCAGUGCCACAAAUAAGUUGCACUAUCAUUAUCAACUCUGCAUCUUUUGGUUUCAAUAUUAUGAAUAUGUGUGUUACUACUAUCGAGAUUCAAUAAGAAUAGACCACUCUUCAAGGGUGCAUGACCAUAAAAGAUAUUACUCAUAUAAAUAGAACAACCAUUAUUCUCUGAUUUAAAUGAAUAACCGUCUCGCAUCAAACAAGAUCCAGAUAUAAUGUUCAUGCUUAACGCUGGCACCAAAUAACAAUUAUUUAGGUCUAAUAUUAAUCCCGAAGGUAGAUGUAGAGGUAGCGUGCCGACCGCGAUCACAUCGACUUUGGAACCGUUUCCCACGCGCAUCGUCACUUUGUCCUUAGCCAAUCUUCGCUUAAUCCGUAGUCCCUGUUUCGAGUUGCAAAUAUUAGCAACAGAACCAGUAUCAAAUACCCAGGUGCUACUGCGAGCAUUAGUAAGGUACACAUCAAUAACAUGUAUAUCACAUAUACCUUUGUUCACCUUGCCAUCCUUCUUAUCCGCCAAAUACUUGGGGCAGUUCCGCUUCCAGUGACCAGUCUGCUUGCAGUAAAAGCACUCAGUUUCAGACUUAGGUCCAGACUUGGGUUUCUUCUGUUGAGCAGCAACUUGCUUGCUGUUCUUCUUGAAGUUCCCCUUCUUUUUCCCUUUGCCCUUUUUCUUGAAACUAGUGGUCUUGUUGACCAUCAACACUUGAUGCUCCCUUUUUGAUUUCUACCUCCGCAGCUUUCAGCAUUGCGAAGAGCUCGGGAAUAGUCUUAUUCAUCCCUUGCACAUUAUAGUUCAUCACGAAGCUCUUGUAGCUUGGUGGCAGUGAUUGGAGAAUUCUGUCAAUGACGCAAUCAUCUAGAAGAUUAACUCCCAUUUGAAUCAAGUGAUUAUUAUACCCAGACAUUUUGAGUAUAUGCUCACUGACAGAAUUGUUCUCCUCCAUCUUGCAGCUAUAGAACUUAUUGGAGACUUCGUAUCUCUCAACCCGGACAUUUGCUUGAAAUAUUAACUUCAACUCUUGGAACAUCUCAUAUGCUCCAUGACGUUCAAAACGUCGUUGAAGUCCCGGUUCUAAGCCAUAAAGCAUGGCACACUGAACUAUCAAGUAGUCAUCAGCUUUGCUCUGCCAGACGUUCACAACAUCUGGUGUUGCUCCAGCAGCAGGCCUGGCACCCAGCGGUGCUUCCAGGAUGUAGUUCUUCUGUGCAGCAAUGAGGAUAAUCCUCAAGUUACGGACCCAGUCCAUGUAAUUGCUACCAUCAUCUUUCAACUUUGCUUUCUCAAGAAACGCAUUAAAAUUCAACGGAACAACAGCACGAGCCAUUUAUCUACAAUCAUACAUAAACAAGCAAGAUACUAUCAGGUACUAAGUUCAUGAUAAAUUUAGGUUCAGUUAAUCAUAUUACUUAAAGAACUCCCACUUAGAUAGACAUCCCUCUAAUCAUCUAAGUGAUUACGUGAUCCAAAUCAACUAAACCAUGUCCGAUCAUCACGUGAGAUGGAGUAGUUUCAUUAGUGAACAUCACUAUGUUGAUCAUAUCUACUAUAUGAUUCACGCUCGACCUUUCGGUCUCCGUGUUCCGAGGCCAUAUCUGUAUAUGCUUGACUCGUCAAGUAUAACCUGAGUAUUCCGCGUGUGCAACUGUUUUGCACCCGUUGUAUUUGAACGUAGAGCCUAUCACACCCGAUCAUCACGUGGUGUCUCAGCACGAAGAACUUUCGCAACGGUGCAUACUCAGGGAGAACACUUCUUGAUAAUUUAGUGAGAGAUCAUCUUAUAAUGCUACCGUCAAUCAAAGCAAGAUAAGAUGCAUAAAAGAUAAACAUCACAUGCAAUCAAUAUAAGUGAUAUGAUAUGGCCAUCAUCAUUUUGUGCUUGUGAUCUUCAUCUCUGAAGCAUCGUCAUGAUCACCAUCGUCACCGGCGCGACACCUUGAUCUCCAUCGUAGCAUCAUUGUCGUCUCGCCAAACUUAUGCUUCCACGACUAUCGCUACCGCUUAGUGAUAAAGUAAAGCAUUACAGCGCGAUUGCAUUGCAUACAAUAAAGCGACAACCAUAUGGCUCCUGUCAGUUGCCGAUAACUCGGUUACAAAACAUGAUCAUCUCAUACAAUAAAAUUUAGCAUCAUAUCUUGACCAUAUCACAUCACAACAUGCCCUGCAAAAACAAGUUAGACGUCCUCUACUUUGUUGUUGCAUGUUUUACGUGGCUGCUACAGGCUUAAGCAAGAACCAAUCUUACCUACGCAUCAAAACCACAACGAUAGUUUGUCAAGUUGGUGCUGUUUUAACCUUCGCAAGGACCGGGCGUAGCCACACUCAGUUCAACUAAAGUUGGAGAAACUGUCACCCGCAAGCCACCUAUGUGCAAAGCACGUCGGGAGAACCGGUCUCGCGUAAGCGUACGCGUAAUGUCGGUCCGUGCCGCUUCGUCCAACAAUACCGCCGAACCAAAGUAUGACAUGCUGGUAAGCAGUAUGACUUAUAUCGCCCACAACUCACUUGUGUUCUACUCGCGCAUAUAACAUCAACAUAUAAAACCUAGGCUCGGAUGCCACCGUUGGGUUUUGUAGUAAUUUCAAAAAAUUUCCUACGCUCACGCAAGAUCAUGGUGAUGCAUAGCAACGAGAGGGAAGAGUAUGAUCUACGUACCCUUGUAGAUCGACAACGGAAGCGUUUGGUUGAUGUAGUCGUACGUCUCCACGGCUCGACCGAUCAAGCACCGAAACUACGACACCUCCGAGUUCUAGCACACGUUCAGCUCGAUGACGAUCCCCGGACUCCGAUCCAGCAAAGUGUCGGGGAAGAGUUCCGUCAACACGACGACGUGGUGACGAUCUUGAUGUACUACCGUCGCAGGGCUUCGCCUAAGCACAUCUACAAUAUUAUCGAGGACUAUGGUGGAAGGGGGCACCGCACACGGCUAAGAAUAUGAUCACGUGGAUCAACUUGUGUCUCUAGGGGUGCCCUUGCCUCCGUAUAUAAAGGUUCAAGGGAUGGGGGCCGGUCGGCCAAGGUGUGGCGCGCCAGGAGGAGUCCUACUCCUUCUGGGAGUAGGACUCCCCCCCUUUCCUUGUUGGAAUAGGAUUCAUGGAGGGGGGGGAAAGAGGAGAGAGAGGAGGAAGGGGGGCCGGCCCCCUCUCCUUGUCCAAUUCGGACCAAGGGGGGGAGGGGCGCGCGGCCCAUCUCUAGCCACCUCUCCUCUCUUCCACUAAGGCCCACUAAGGCCCAUAUACCUCCCGGGGGGUUCCGGUAACCUCCCGGUACUCCGGUAAAAUCCCGAUUUCACCCAGAACACUUCCGAUAUCCAAACAUAGGCUUCCCAUAUAUCAAUCUUUAUGUCUCGACCAUUUCGAGACUCCUCGUCAUGUCCGUGAUCACAUCCGGGACUCCGAACAACCUUCGGUACAUCAAAAUGCAUAAACUCAUAAUAUAACUGUCAUCGUAACCUUAAGCGUGCGGACCCUAUGGGUUCGAGAACAAUGUAGACAUGACCGAGACACGUCUCCGGUCAAUAACCAAUAGCGGAACCUGGAUGCUCAUAUUGGCUCCUACAUAUUCUACGAAGAUCUUUUAUCGGUCAGACCGCAUAACAACAUACGUUGUUCCCUUUGUCAUCGGUAUGUUACUUGCCCGAGAUUCGAUCGUCGGUAUCCUAUACCUAGUUCAAUCUCGUUACCGGCAAGUCUCUUUACUCGUUCUGUAAUACAUCAUCCCGCAACUAACUCAUUAGUUGCAAUGCUUGCAAGGCUUAAGUGAUGUGCAUUACCGAGAGGGCCCAGAGAUACCUCUCCGACAAUCGGAGUGACAAAUCCUAAUCUUGAAAUACGCCAACCCAACAUGUACCUUUGGAGACACCUGUAGAGCUCCUUUAUAAUCACCCAGUUACGUUGUGACGUUAGGUAGCACACAAAGUGUUCCUCUGGCAAACGGGAGUUGCAUAAUCUCAUAGUCAUAGGAACAUGUAUAAGUCAUGAAGAAAGCAAUAGCAACAUACUAAAUGAUCGGGUGCUAAGCUAAUGGAAUGGGUCAUGUCAAUCAGAUCAUUCAACUAAUGAUGUGAUCCCGUUAAUCAAAUAACAACUCUUUGUCCAUGGUUAGGAAACAUAACCAUCUUUGAUUAACGAGCUAGUCAAGUAGAGGCAUACUAGUGACACUCUGUUUGUCUAUGUAUUCACACAUGUAUUAUGUUUCCGGUUAAUACAAUUCUAGCAUGAAUAAUAAACUUUUAUCAUGAUAUAAGGAAAUAAAUAAUAACUUUAUUAUUGCCUCUAGGGCAUAUUUCCUUCAUGCACUAGCCCAACUAGCUCAUGAACUGUCCGGGGUUGGCCAAUCCCCCGACAGUUCCAGCUCAGGACUGUCAUGGCUCCUGGUGGGCGCCAUCUUUAGCACCCACCAGGUCCCCGGGAGCCCCAGUUCCGACUGCUUCCUUGUCUUCCUCCUUGCCCUUGCUGCUUGCUUCAGCGUCUGCCUCUGUCUAUUUCUUCUUUUUGUUCUGAUCCACCUCAUUGUCCUUACUCGCCCCCUUGAUCUUGCUGAAAUUCUCUUCAUUUCAUUCCCCUCUCUUACCCAGCACCGAGGCAGAAGGAAACACAUACUUCCUGCGGACCUUCACCCCAGCUGGGAUCAUCUCCUGCCCUACCUUAUCAGUAGCAGUCACAUCUCUCUUCUCUUCACCUUCUAGCUCAUGCAGCCCCGUCACCACGUGGAGACCAGCAUCACCAGCACCCUUAAUGAAGUACUAAGGUAAUGGGCCAAAGCCUGGAGGGAAGAGUGGUCCACUGCCAUUGUCAUCCUUAGCUUUUGCUGCGGCGAACUGUUCAGAGUUCAACAUCGUCUUCCCAGGUCCUGUUUUCACUGCUGUCUCUUCCACCUCCUUCCCAUCCACCUGCAUCUGCUUGUUUGGUGCCGCUAAUUCAGCUGGGACGGUCUCCUGGAUUGGCUUCUCUGCUGUGUUCCCCUUCCUACCCUGCUGAUCGCUGCCUCCUUCCUCAGUAACCUUCAGAGCACUCACCGCCGCUAUUGCCUCUUGCACCAUUGGGUUUGCCAUGAUUUCUUCAGGGACCGCCAUGAGCCUUGCUUUGGCUUGCUUUGGGUAGACAUGCACCUCCUUGCCGAACAUCUCCUGCCCAAAUUGGAGGAACCUGCGAGUUCUGCUGACAUUUGGAUCCACAUAUCCCCUUCUACUAGAGCUAUGCUUAGCAGGGGAGGCACGCAUUGCUGCUGUAAACCUCAUCUUUUGGAGGUCAACAGGUGAAGGAAAUAUGCCCUAGAGGCAAUAAUAAAGUUAUUAUUUAUUUCCUUAUAUCAUGAUAAAUGUUUAUUAUUCAUGCUAGAAUUGUAUUAACCGGAAACAUAAUACAUGUGUGAAUACAUAGACAAACAGAGUGUCACUAGUAUGCCUCUACUUGACUAGCUCGUUAAUCAAAGAUGGUUAUGUUUCCUAACCAUGGACAAAGAGUUGUUAUUUGAUUAACGGGAUCACAUCAUUAGUUGAAUGAUCUGAUUGACAUGACCCAUUCCAUUAGCUUAGCACCCGAUCGUUUAGUAUGUUGCUAUUGCUUUCUUCAUGACUUAUACAUGUUCCUAUGACUAUGAGAUUAUGCAACUCCCGUUUGCCGGAGGAACACUUUGUGUGCUACCAAACGUCACAACGUAACUGGGUGAUUAUAAAGGAGCUCUACAGGCGUCUCCAAAGGUACAUGUUGGGUUGGCGUAUUUCGAGAUUAGGAUUUGUCACUCCGAUUGUCGGAGAGGUAUCUCUGGGCACUCUCGGUAAUGCACAUCACUGAAGCCUUGCAAGCAUUGCAACUAAUGAGUUAGUUGCGGGAUGAUGUAUUACGGAACGAGUAAAGAGACUUGCCGGUAACGAGAUUGAACUAGGUAUUGAGAUACCGACGAUCGAAUCUCGGGCAAGUAACAUACCGAUGACAAAGGGAACAACGUAUGUUGUUAUGCGGUCUGACCGAUAAAGAUCUUCGUAGAAUAUGUAGGAGCCAAUAUGGGCAUCCAGGUCCCGCUAUUGGUUAUUGACCGGAGACGUGUCUCGGUCAUGUCUACAUUGUUCUCGAACCCGUAGGGUCUGCACGCUUAAGGUUUCGAUGACAGUUAUAUUAUGAGUUUGUGGGUUUUGAUGUACCGAAGGAGUUCGGAGUCCCGGAUGAGAUCGGGGACAUGACGAGGAGUCUCGAAAUGGUUGAGACGUAAAGAUCGAUAUAUUGGACGACUAUAUUCGGACAUCGGAAAGAUUCCGAGUGAUUCGGGUAUUUUUCGGAGUACCGGAUAGUUACGGGAGAAGCAAUGGGCCUUGAUGGGCUUUAGUGGGAAGAGGAGAAAGGGCCAAGGGGCUGCUGCGCCCCCCCUCCCCUCUGGUCCGAAUUGGACUAGGAAAAAGGGGGCCGGCCACCUUUCCUUCUCCUCUACUUCCUUCUGUCUUCCUCCCCUCUUGGUAGACUCCUACUAGGACUUGGAGUCCUAGUAGGACUCCACAUCCUGGCCGCACCAAUUGCCUUGGCCGGCCUCCUCCUCCUCCAUCCUUUAUAUACUGAGGCAAGGGGCACCCCAUGAACACAAGUUGAUCCACGUGAUCAUAUUCUUAGCCGUGUGCGGUGCCCCCUUCCACCAUAGUCCUCGAUAAUAUUAUAGCGGUGCUUAGGCGAAGCCCUGCGACUGUAGUACAUCAAGAUCGUCACCAUGCCGUCGUGCUGACGGAACUCUUCCCCGACACUUUGCUGGAUCGGAGUCCGGGGAUCGUCAUCGAGCUGAACGUGUACCAAGAACUCGGAGGUGCUGGAGUAACGGUGCUUGGAUCGGUCGGAUCGUGAAGACAUCGACUACAUCAACCGCGUUGUCACAACGCUUCCGCUGUCGGUCUACAAGGGUACGUAGAUCACACUCUCCCUCUCGUUGCUAUGCAUCACCAUGAUCUUGCAUGUGCGUAUGAAAUUUUUGAAAUUACUAUGUUAUCCAACAGUGGCAUCCGAGCCUAGGUUUUAUAUGUUGAUGUUAUAUGCACGAGUAGAACACAAGUGAGUUGUGGGCGAUAUAAGUCAUACUGCUUACCAGCAUGUCAUACUUUGGUUCGGCGGUAUUGUUGGACGAAGCGGCCCGGACCGACAUUACGCGUACGCUUACGCGAGACCGGUUCUCCCGACGUGCUUUGCACAUAGGUGGCUUGCGGGUGACAGUUUCUCCAACUUUAGUUGAACCAAGUGUGGCCACGCCCGGUCCUUGUGAAGGUUAAAACAGUACCAACUUGACAAACUAUCAUUGUGGUUUUGAUGCGUAGGUAAGAUUGGUUCCUGCUUAAGCCCGUAGCAGCCACGUAAAACAUGCAACAACAAAGUAAAGGACGUCUAACUUGUUUUUGCAGGGCAUGUUGUGAUGUGAUAUGGUCAAGACAUGAUGCUAAAUUUUAUUGUAUGAGAUGAUCAUGUUUUGUAACCGAGUUAUCGGCAACUGGCAGGAGCCAUAUGGUUGUCGCUUUAUUGUAUGCAAUGCAAUCGCGUUGUAAUGCUUUACUUUAUCACUAAGCGGUAGCGAUAGUUGUGGAAGCAUAAGAUUGGCGAGACGACAACGAUGCUACGAUGGAGAUCAAGGUGUCGCGCCGGUGACGAUGGUGAUCAUGACGGUGCUUCGGAGAUGGAGAUCACAAGCACAAAAUGAUGAUGGCCAUAUCAUAUCACUUAUAUUGAUUGCAUGUGAUGUUUAUCUUUUAUGCAUCUUAUCUUGCUUUGAUUGACGAUAGCAUUAUAAGAUGAUCUCUCACUAAAUUAUCAAGAAGUGUUCUCCCUGAGUAUGCACCGUUGCGAAAGUUCUUCAUGCUGAGACACCACGUGAUGAUCGGGUGUGAUAGGCUCUACGUUCAAAUACAACGGGUGCAAAACAGUUGCACACGCGGAAUACUCAGGUUAUAAUUGACGAGCCAAGCAUAUACAGAUAUGGCCUCGGAACACGGAGACCGAAAGGUCGAGCGUGAAUCAUAUAGUAGAUAUGAUCAACAUAGCGAUGUUCACCAAUGAAACUACUCCAUCUCACAUGAUGAUCGGACAUGGUUUAGUUGAUUUGGAUUACGUAAUCACUUAGAGGAUUAGAGGGAUGUCUAUCUAAGUGGGAGUUCUUAAGUAAUAUGAUUAAAUUGAACUUAAAUUUAUCAUGAACUUAGUCCUGGUAGUAUUUUGCAAAUUAUUUUAUAGAUCAAUAGCUCACGUUGUUGCUUCCCUAUGUUUAUUUUGAUAUGUUCCUAGAGAAAAUUGUGUUGAAAGAUGUUAGUAGCAAUGAUGCGGAUUGGAUCCGUGAUCUGAGGUUUAUCCUCAUUGCUGCACAGAAGAAUUAUGUCCUUGAUGCACCGCUAGGUGACGGACCUAUUGCAGGAGCAGAUGCAGACGUUAUGAACGUUUGGCUAGCUCAAUAUGAUGACUACUUGAUAGUUUAGUGCAUCAUGCUUAAUGGCUUAGAAUCGGGACUUCAAAGACGUUUUGAACGUCAUGGAGCAUAUGAGAUGUUCCAGGAGUUGAAGAUAAUAUUUCAAGCAAAUACCCGAGUUGAGAGAUAUGAAGUCUCCAACAAGUUCUAUAGCUAAAAGAUGGAGGAGAAUCGCUCAACUAGUGAGCAUGUGCCCAGAUUGUCUGAGUACUACAAUCGCUUGAAUCAAGUGGGAGUUAAUCUUCCAGAUAAGAUAGUGAUUGACAAAAUUCUCUAGUCACCAUCACCAAGUUAGUAGAACUUCAUGAUGAACUAUGAUAUGCAAAGGAUAACGGAAACGAUUCCCAAGAUCUUCGUAAUGCGGAAAUUGACGAAGGUAGAAAUCGAGAAAAACAUCAAGUGUUGAUGGUAGACAAGACCACUAAUUUCAAGAAAAGGGCAGAGGGAAGAAGGGGAACUUCAAGAAGAACAGCAAGCAAGUUGCUGCUCAAGUGAAGAAGCCCAAGUCUGGUCCUAAGCCUGAGACUAAGUGUUUCUACUGCAAAGGGACUGGUCACUGGAAGCGGAACUACCCCAAGUGAUUGGCAGAUAAGAAGGAUGGCAAAGUGAACAUAAGUAUAUUUGAUAUACAUGUUAUUGAUGUGUACUUUACUAGUGUUUAUAGCAACCCCUCAGUAUUUGAUACUAGUUCAGUUGCUAAGAUUAGUAACUCGAAACGGGAGUUGCAGAAUAAACAGAGACUAGUUAAGGGUGAAGUGACGAUGUGUGUUGGAAGUGGUUCCAAGAUUGAUAUGAUCAUCAUCGCACACUCCCUAUACUUUCGGGAUUAGUGUUGAACCUGAAUAAGUGUUAUUUGGUGUUUGCGUUAAGCAUGAAUAUGAUUUGAUCAUGUUUAUUGUAAUACUGUUAUUCAUUUAAGUAAGAGAAUAAAUUGUUGUUCUGUUUACAUGAAUAAAACCUUAUAUGGUUACACACCCAAUGAAAAUAGUUCGUUGGAUCUCGAUCGUAGUGAUACACAUAAUCAUAAUAUUGAAACCAAAAGAUGCAAAGUUAAUAUUGAUAGUGCAACUUAUUUGUAGCACUGCCGUUUAGGUCAUAUUGGUGUAAAGCGCAUGAAGAAACUCCAUGCUGAUGGGAUUUUGGAAUCACUUGAUUAUGAAUCACUUGAUGCUUGCGAACCAUGCCUCAUGGGCAAGAUGACUAAGACUCCAUUCUCCGGAGCGAGCAACUGACUUAUUGGAAAUAAUACAUACUGAUGUAUGCGGUCCGAUGAGUGUUAAGGCUCACGGCAAGUAUCGUUAUUUUCUGAACUUCACAGAUGAUUUGAGCAGAUAUGGGUAUAUCUACUUGAUGAAACAUAAGUCUAAAACAUUUGAAAAGUUCAAAGAAUUUCAGAGUGAAGUGGAAAAUCAUCGUGACAAGAAAAUAAAGUUUCUACGAUCUGAUCACGGAGACAAAUAUUUGAGUUACGAGUUUGGUCUUCAAUUAAAACAAUGUGGAAUAGUUUCACAAACUCAUGCCACAUGGAACACCACAGCAUAAUGGUGUGUCCGAACGUCAUAACCGUACUUUAUUGGAUAUAGUGCAAUCUAUGAUGUCUCUUACCAAUCUACCACUAUCAUUUUGGGGUUAUGCAUUAGAGACAGCUGCAUUCACGUUAAAUAGGGCACCAUCUAAAUCCGUUGAGACGACACCAUAUGAACUAUGGUUUGGCAAGAAACCUAAGCUGUCAUUUCUUAAAGUUUGGGACUGCGAUGCUUAUGUGAAAAAGUUUCAACAUGAUAAGCUCGAACCCAAAUCGGAGAAGUAAAUCUUCAUAGGAUAUCCAAAGGAAACUAUUGGAUACACCUUCUAUCACAGAUCUGAAGGCAAGACUUUUGUUGCUAAAUUCGGAAACUUUCUGGAGAAGGAGUUUCUCUCGAAAGAAGUGAGUGGGAGGAAAGUAAAAAAACUUGAUAAGGUAAUUGUACCUUCUCCCUUAUUGGAAAGUAGUUCAUCACAGAAAUCUGUUCCUGUGACUACUACACCAAUUAGUGAGGAAGCUAAUGAUGAUGAUCAUGUAACUUCAGAUCAAGUUACUACCGAAUCUCGCAGGUAAACCAGAGUGAGAUCCGCACCAGAGUGGUACUGUAAUCCUGUUCUGGAAGUCAUGUUACUAGACCAUGACGAACUUGCGAACUAUGAGGAAGCGAUGAUGAGCCCAGAUUCCGCAAAAUGGCUUGAGGCCAUGAAAUCUGAGAUGGGAUCCAUGUAUGAGAACAAAGUAUGGACUUUGGUUGACUUGCCCGAUGAUCGGCAAGCAAUUAAGAAUAAAUGGAUCUUCAAGAGGAAGACGGACGCUGAUAGUAUUGUUACUAUCUACAAAGCUAGAAUUGUCGCAAAAGGUUUUCGACAAGUUCAAGGUGUUGACUACGAUGAGAGUUUCUCACUCGUAUCUAUGCUUAAAUCUGUCCGAAUCAUGUUAGCAAUUGCCGCAUUUUAUGAAAUCUGGCAAAUGGAUAACAAAACUGCAAUCCUUAAUGGAUUUCUUAAAGAAGAAUUGUAUAUGAUGCAACCAGAAGUUUUUGUCAAUCCUAAAGGUGUUAACAAAAUAUACAAACUCCAGCGAUCCAUCUAUGGACUAGUGUAAGCAUCUCGGAGUUGGAAUAUACGCUUUGAUGAGUUGAUCAAAGCAUAUAGUUUUAUAAAGACUUGCGGUGAAGCCUGUAUUUACAAGAAAGUGAGUGGGAGCACUAUAACAUUUCUGAUAAGUAUAUGUGAAUGACAUAUUGUUGAUCGGAAAUAAUGUAGAAUUAUUCUGCAAAGCAUAAAGGAGUGUUUGAAAGGAGUUUUUCAAAGAAAGACCUCGGUGAAGUUGCUUACAUAUUGAGCAUCAAGAUCUAUAGAGAUAGAUCAACACGCUUGAUAAGGUUUUUCAAUAAAUACAUACCUUGACAAGAUUUUGAAGUAGUUCGAAAUGGAAUAGACAAAGAAAGAGUUUCUUGCCUAUGUUACAAGGUGUGAAAUUGAGUAAGACUCAAAGCCCGACCACGGCAGAGAUAGAAAGAGAAUGAAUAUCAUUCCCUAUGCCUUGGUCAUAGGUUCUAUAAAGUAUGUCAUGCUGUGUACCAGAUCUAUUGUAUACCCUACUACUGAGUUUGGCAAGGGAGUACAAUAGUGAUCUAGGAGUAGAUCACUGGACAGCGAUCAAAAUUAUCCUUAGUGGAAUAAGGAUAUGUUUCUCGAUUAUGGAAGUGAAAAAAGGUUCGUCGUAAAGGGUUACGCCGAUGCAAGUUUUGAUACUAAUCUAGAUGAAUCUAAGUCUCAAUCUAGAUACAUAUUGAAAGUGGGAGCAAUUAGCUAGAGUAGCUCCGUGCAGAGCAUUAUUGACAUAAAUAUUUGCAAAAUACUUACGGAUCUGAAUAUAACAGACCCGUGACUAAAAUUAUCUCACAAGCACAACAUGAUCACACCUUAGUACUCUUUGGGUGUUAAUCACACAUCGAUGUGAACUAGAUUACUGACUCUAGUAAACCCUUUGGGUGUUGGUCACAUAUCGAUGUGGACUAUGGGUGUUAAUCACAUGGUUAUGAGAACUAUUGCUAUUAAAUCACAUGGCGAUGUGAACUAGAUUAUUGACUCUAGUGCAAGUGGGAGACUGAAGGAAAUAUGCCCUAGAGGCAAUAAUAAAGUUAUUAUUUAUUUCCUUAUAUCAUGAUAAAUGUUUAUUAUUCAUGCUAGAAUUGUAUUAACCGGAAACAUAAUACAUGUGUGAAUACAUAGACAAACAAAGUGUCACUAGUAUGCCUCUACUUGACUAGCUCGUUAAUCAAAGAUGGUUAUGUUUCCUAACCAUGGACAAAGAGUUGUUAUUUGAUUAACGGGAUCACAUCAUUAGUUGAAUGAUCUGAUUGACAUGACCCAUUCCAUUAGCUUAGCACCCGAUCGUUUAGUAUGUUGAUAUUGCUUUCUUCAUGACUUAUACAUGUUCCUAUGACUAUGAGAUUAUGCAACUCCCGUUUGCCGGAGGAACACUUUGUGUGCUACCAAAGUCACAAUGUAACUGGGUGAUUAUAAAGGAGCUCUAUAGGCGUCUCCAAAGGUACAUGUUGGGUUGGCGUAUUUCGAGAUUAGGAUUUGUCACUCCGAUUGUCGGAGAGGUAUCUCUGGCCCCUCUCGGUAAUGCACAUCACCGAAGCCUUGCAAGCAUUGCAACUAAUGAGUUAGUUGCGGGAUGAUGUAUUACGGAACGAGUAAAGAGACUUGCCGGUAACGAGAUUGAACUAGGUAUUGAGAUACCGACGAUCGAAUCUCGGGCAAGUAACAUACCGAUGACAAAGAGAACAACGUAUGUUGUUAUGCGGUCUGACCGAUAAAGAUCUUCGUAGAAUAUGUAGGAGCCAAUAUGGGCAUCCAGGUCCCGCUAUUGGUUAUUGACCGGAGACGUGUCUCGGUCAUGUCUACAUUGUUCUCGAACCCGUAGGGUCCGCACGCUUAAGGUUUCGAUGACAGUUAUAUUAUGAGUUUAUGAGUGUUGAUGUACCGAAGGAGUUCGGAGUCCCGGAUGAGAUCGGGGACAUGACGAGGAGUCUCGAAAUGAUUGAGACGUAAAGAUCGAUAUAUUGGACGACUAUAUUCGGACAUCGGAAAGGUUCCGAGUGAUUCGGGUAUUUUUCGGAGUACCGGGUAGUUACGGGAGAAGCAAUGGGCCUUGAUGGGCUUUAGUGGGAAGAGGAGAAAGGGCCAAGGGGCUGCUGCGCCCCCUCCCCUCUGGUCCGAAUUGGACUAGGGAAAAGGGGGCCGGCCACCUUUCCUUCUCCUCUACUUCCUUCUCCCUUCCUCCCCUCUUGGUAGACUCCUACUAGGACUUGGAGUCCUAGUAGGACUCCACAUCCUGGCCGCACCAAUUGCCUUGGCCGGCCUCCUCCUCCUCCUCCAUCCUUUAUAUACUGAGGCAAGGGGCACCCCAUGAACACAAGUUGAUCCACAUGAUCAUAUUCUUAGCCGUGUGCGGUGCCCCCUUCCACCAUAGUCCUCGAUAAUAUUGUAGCGGUGCUUAGGCGAAGCCCUGCGACUGUAGUACAUCAAGAUCGUCACCACACCGUCGUGCUGACGGAACUCUUCCCCGACACUUUGCUGGAUCGGAGUCCGGGGAUCGUCAUCGAGCUGAACGUGUGCCAAGAACUCGGAGGUGCCGGAGUAACGGUGCUUGGAUCGGUCGGAUCGUGAAGACGUACGACUACAUCAACCGCGUUGUCACAAUGCUUCCGCUGUCGGUCUACAAGGGUACGUAGAUCACACUCUCCCCUCUCGUUGCUAUGCAUCACCAUGAUCUUGCAUGUGCGUAGGAAAUUUUGGAAAUUACUACGUUACUCAACAACAGGCAGCUUACAAUUGUGUUGUCCAUGCCCUAUGAGACCACAGUACCCACAGAAUCGAGGCACUCUCUCAUACUUAACCUCUAAGCAAUAGAAAUCAUUCUCUGACUUCUCAUGGAAAGUUACAUCACUACGGAGAGGCACAUCUACAUCGUGCUUGAUACGGAUUCUAAUGUAGUCCCCCCAAAUUUUACCUUCCUUGUCACAGUCCACAGCCAGGACCUCUCCUAGCUCUGCACCCACCUUCCAUGCAACUCUUUCUGACAUCAUGAUGGGAGGAGUGUCGUGAACACGUACCCAUAUUGGCAUGUGAGCGACUUCAACAUCAGCCGGUCUCUGGCUACCAUCCACUACCACCAUCAGGAAAGCAUCUCCCUUGUGAGUCCAGGGGCCGUUGUUGAGGAUGUGCCGGCGAUCUCCUUCCCGCUCAAACUCCAUCAGGUAGCGGUUGUUCUUGAGUGGGGAGUAGGUCAGCCGUCCCCUCAAGCCCCACUUGCUCUUCAUCUCUCGGAACAAACCUUCAGUGCCGAAGGCUUGUGGCGAGAAGAAGAGGCCCACUGCGAUCCAGUGGGUGCGCAUUGCCGCCUUCUCCGCAGACAGGUCUAGUUCCACAGCCUCCUUGAUCUGCCCGCAGAUGAUGGCAGGAAGCUUGGGAUCAGCAGCAUCCCCGACGGCCCCCACUCUGGGCGUCGGGACCAUGGCCUCCUCUGGGACAGACAGGGUGUUGAUCGCACCCCAUGGCCAUGGGAUGAGCCACCGUGCAACACGACCCUUUCCGGUCUUCCUCCCUCCGACCGCUUGGGUGGCACCUCACUUUCACUCAUGGCGCCCUUGCCCUUGCUCAUGAGGUUCUCCAUGGACAAGCCGGUGGCAAUCGCAGGUGGAGGUCGAGGAAUAGUACAUGCUACAUGCCCUUGAUCCUGGGUUUUAUACCCCAUCGGUGCAGAUCCGGUCCUGGCGACUUGCUCUGGCCCUGCAAUUGGUAUGUGAUCUCAUGAUAUCGCUGUAUCAGGGAUGGUAAUCAUCUCCAAAUCCUUUUCUCUUCCUCUGUCCGGCGGAUCUCCCGGCGGUAAUAGUUCCAGCCUAUCCUUUCUCCCAAUCCACGAGCGCCCCAGAUCCCUUCUCAAGCUCUGAAUCUUGUCUUUGAUUCGAUCCAUACCCCCCACCUCCGGUUGACCCCGAUUUUCCCCGCCCCGAUUCUUAGUUUCCUUCCUUUGGAUUUUCCUCAUCUCCAUCUUCUUGAUCGCAUUCCUUACCUGCAUCCAAUCCUUUCUCAAUCCUAAUGAAUCCCAAUUGGGGCAUAUCUCUUCCUUCCUACAGAUAUCCUCGCCCUUCCUCCGGGAAGGGUGAACUCUCACCGCCGGCGCGGCAUUCUCGGGAUCUACCCCUGAUCGCCUCGCGAUCGCCUCGAAAGGGGGAGCGUAAAUUGCGGGGCGGUCCAUUCUAUAAGGAGUUUUCCUGCAUUAUUAAAAUUUAACUAAACUUUAUUUUUAGUAUUUUAUAAGUAAAAAAUUGAGCGAAACAAUUUAUAUGUAAAUAACAUCUGCUUAGGGAGCCAACGUUUCUCUCCAGACGGGCCCUUACAUACCCAAGCAUCUAUUCCAGAGAAGGUUUUUGCCUCAAGAUUCACCCACUUGGCUGAAAAAGACCUUACAGUAAACCUAUACAUGGCACGUGGUAUUAAUUUUGGGAUGUGGUGGUGUACAAACGCCUCGUGGAUCCAUUUAUUUCAUUGAAAUUUUUUGAACGGGUGUGGCAUUUGGUUUGGUUGAUUUAGCGUUUUUUGGUUGUGUUUGGCUCAAUCUGUUCGUGUGUGUUUGUGUGUGCGUAUGUGCUGUCCCUUUCGGCUGUUUGAAUGUGGUUUCUUUCUCAUGUGCUAUCGCUUUCGGUUCUGCCGACGUGGUUGUUUUUUUAGCGUGUGUCACUGUCCAUUCUAGCAUAUGUUUGAAACAGAUAGUUCAUCACGUUUGCAAAGCAUAACCACUGUUAGGGUCGUCUUCUUCGUGUGCUUCCUCCAUGCUGUCUUCCGUUUCCCGGCCUGCAUGCUGCUGCAUCACCUACUUUCACAGGAGUAGUUCAGUGCUGCUGCAUGGUGGUGACCUGGUGGGUCUCUCUCUCUCUAUGAAGUGUCCCAUACAUAGUGUGACUGUAUCUGAAGCGGGACUGCUUCUGUCUGGGCAGCUCAAUAGUAAUAGCGUGUGUUUCAUCACCAUCAGCUAGCGAUCCAGGACUUCGUACUAAACUGCUACUAAAUUCACAAGAGGGAGCAUUUCAAUAAAUAAAAAUCUAUCGAUGCUUUAUAAUAUCAUGCAUACAUGUAUGAUGUAUCAACAGUUCUUUUUAGUUCUACUUCAUACCAAAAAAUAAAUUUGCAAUGUCUGAACAAAUAUGAAGUAUAAAAUUAUAUUAUGAAAGGGAAUUUUUUGAUUUUCAAAACUAAUGAACUUGGGCCUGCUUACAACACGUAUUCAUCAGUUAACUACACUUUUUUGGGGUAAUUGCUCUUUCAAAUCUCCAUAAGAGGGCAAAAACACCACUCUUCUCGAGAUGAUCGCAGUCAGCUGGAUGGGCUCCACACUUCCCGUGCCAUUUUAUAUGUUUUAAAUUGCACUUCAGAGAGCGUUCACCAGUUAACUGAAACUUAUUGUGUUCUAAAAUUUAAUCCAGGUGGUGUCUUUGGACUAAGGCCACUCUGGAGUGGUAACAUUAGCACAACUGAUGGUUGGUUUUUUUCCCCUGUUGACAUGUAUCUCCUUUCUUUUGAUGUGAAUACAUCAAUAGAAUAAGGGGUUUCUAAUAUUACUGUCUUACAUAGUUCACAGAUUAUUGAAGCUUUUUGCGGCUAUGGAAAUCUGACCAGAGACUAUUCGGUCUUAUCUCUGAAUUGAAGAUAAGAAGUGUAAAUGUUCAGAUAUGUAUGUUACCCCUUUUGUAAACUAAUAUAGGACCGUUUAGACUACUACUUUAGAUCACUAAAGUUGUGAUCUAAAUGGUCUUAUAUUAGUUUACAAAGGGAUUACCUCCUAACCACUCUUUACAGAUUUAUUAUCUAUGAAAUGCAUCCAAGCAAGUCCUAUCUUAUCUGCAAUUACCCCCUUAGAUAUCUGGAGUUUAGAGCUCACUAUCCUUCCAGGUUCUCUACUGGUUGUAUUUCCUUGACAACUUCGAGGGAGGAAUAAGUACUGUUUGUCAUUCUUUGACAUGUAUAAUACCAUACUAGAGAUGUGAAUUGUUGGAGUUCAUUUAGUGGAGUAUUAGUAGAUAAAUGAUUUCUUUUCUUCGCAUUCAACUGGUGUAUAUGUGUUUAGUCCAUUCCCAAAAUGAUUUGUAAAGUUGCCUUAACAACUAAACAGCCUUCAUGUGUAUUGGUACUCUGUUUUUUGGGCAGCUGGAAGAAAUCAGUUUAUCAAUUAACAAAUAUGGAACGGAGGGAGUAGUUAGUUAGGCAUCACAGUGAAGCUUGGCGAAGGGGCAUUUUUUUAGGCCUACAAGGCUGGAUGCACUGUAUCAAAGUGGUACCAUCUGAUGGGCAUUCAUUUGUCAACUACCACUUUUUUUAGCUGUAUCGCGUGCCAAAAAAUUGAAUUGACAAUGUCUGAACAAAUAUGAAGUAUAAAGUUAUAUCAUUGAAGAGAAUUGUUUUAUUUUCAAAAGUAAUGAAGUUGGAUCUGCUUAAAGCACAUAUUCACGAGUUAACUUCACUUUUUAGGGUAAUUGUAAUUUAAAUAUCCACAAGAGGACAAAAACACUACUCUUCUGGAGGUCAUCUAAAUAAGAUGGAAGGGCUCCACACUUCCCGUGCCAUUUUAUGUAUUUUAGAAUUUACUUCAGAGAGACUUCAUCAGUUUGUGCUCUAAAUUUUACUUUAGAGAGUGUCUUUGGACUGAGGCCACUUUAGCACAAUUGAUGGCUGCUUUUCCUCCCCUGUGGACAUGUACCUCCUUUAUCUAGAUGUGAAUAUAUCAAUAAAACAAGGAAUUUUUAAUAUUACUGUCUGACGGAGUUCACAGAUUAUUGAAGAUUUUUGCAGCUAUGGAGAUCUGACCAAACAGUCUUCUAUCCUACCUCUGAAUUGAAGAUGUAUUGGGUCUGUAUAUGAAGUGUAAAUAUUCAGAUAUGUAUGUUACCUCCUAACUUCUCUUUACAGAUUUAUUAUCUAUGAAAUGCAUGCAAGCAAGUUCUAUCUUAUAGACAAUUACUCUCUUAUAGAUAAAUCCGUUGAUUCAUGAAUUAAAUGGCCAGAGAUCGGUGCAGUCAAGUGGAUUGAUACCUGGACUUUAGAGCUCAAAAUCCUUCUAACUUCUCUACUGGCUGUAUUUUGUUGACAGCUUUGAGAGAAGAACAAGUACUGUUAGUCAUUCCAUGACAUGUAUAAUUUAAAUACUAGAGAAGUGAAUUGAUAGUUCAUUUAGUAGAGUAUUAGUAGAUGAUGGUGUAUAUCCUGAUAUGUUUAGUCCGUUCCCAAAAUAAUUUGUGAAGUAGCCUUAAUAAUUAUAAACCUUCUCUGUAUAUUAGUACUCAGUUUUUUGGGGAGCUGGAAGAAGCCAGCUUACCAUAACAUGUGAAAAUGAAUUUAUUUACCUGCAGUGUUGCUUUUAUUAGUUGACAAAGUUGUUUGUUAAAUACUCCCUCCGUCCAGAAAUACUUGUCAUCAAAAUGGAGAAAAAAGGAUGUAUCUAGAUGUAUUUUAGUUCUAGAUACAUCUUUUUUUAUCCAUUUUGAUGACAAGUAUUUUUUGACGGAGGGAGUAGUUAGUUAGGCAUUACAAUGAAGCUUGGCCAAGGGACUUCUGUUGAGGCCUACAAAGCUCGAAGAACUGUAAGUAGAGUGGUGCCUUUUGAUGUAUAUUCAUUUGUCGACUAAUACCUGGCCAUACUAGAGAAGUGCGCACACACCCCCUAACAGAUUCUAAAUGUGUACUUGGACGACCUUUAAAUACCUGGAUGAUAUUCCACAUAAACAAAGCCAUAUCGUCAUUUUAAUACAAUAAGCAAGCAGGGGCCCAUAAAACAAAUAGCUACUCUUUUUUGAUGUGUAGCAAAUUCAUUACUUAUGGGGGCAUCAAGAAGAGCUCUCUGCACAAAGGAUUCAUUACCUGAGCGAGGCAUACAAUCCAAGAGCCCUUUCAACGUUUCACCUUAGAUGAUAUAAUAUAACCAUAAGUUUUAUUUCUCAAAAUAUAGGAGGUGUACCACCCUGCACAAAGGAAACAAGAGUUUUACAAGUGUCCAGUAGCCAGGGUUGCAUAACUGUGAGAAAUUGAUGAUAAAACACAAUGUGAUAAUUCAACAGGUAAAACCGAAUUUAAGGUAAGCUAACUAAAUUGAGCAUUUGUUUCCCCAUUGGACAUGUCAGAAUUCACAAACAUCCAAAAGGAAAAGAUAAUGUAUCGACCAAACUACCAAAAUUAGAAAUUCUCUGUCAUGUACAACAAAUGCACCAACCCAUCAACCUAGACAGCAAUACUAAUAAAAGUUACAUUUUUCAAGUAGCCAGGCUGCCUCGAAUUACAAGAAUUUGAUCACUAUUCUUACUAAGAAACAAGUAAAGUACUGAAGUAGUACAUGUUAGCAUCAAUCUUAUUACUAUCCAGAGAAGCUCAAUUCAGGCAAAACAAGCCAAGGAAGCACACGACAACCAGAAACAGUGAGUGAAGGAAAGGAACCGAACCUGAGACACCCGAGGAGGAAUUCGCCAUCUCUGCCACCCGGCCCAAACGAUACCCCAGCAGAAUUGAGGAGCACGAGGACGAUAUGCUCACCCCACGAGCAGCUCCAUGGAUCUUGGCCCUCUCCGUGGCCAGGGCGACAGACUGCGAUGGCGAGCACGAGUCCAUGGAGGGGAUCAAGCAGCGCUUCGCGGCGGUGCAUGUGUGGCUCGCAGGUCGACUGUGGGCGGUGCGUGUCGGAAGAACUCACGUGUGGUUGCGGCAGUGCACAGCCAGGCGAAGCUCGCGGCGCGACGGCGGCCGGUGCGUGCGUGCGCGUAGUUGCCGUGAGUGGCUACCUGCGGUGUGGCCGCCGCACGACAUACGACAGCGCUCGGCCCCUUCGCUGCUCCCGCCACCUCUGUAGCUCAUGGUGGCGAGCCGGCGACGUCUCUGCGGCGAGCCAAUGCUAUCUAAAUGGUGUGCGGCACAGGAGCAGAGAGAG